GGAAACCCUAAUGGAGCCCCAAUCUGCUUUGGUGAAGCCAGAGGAGAUAUGGGUUAUGCUACAAGUCAGUAUGCAUUGCCAUGCCUGCUCUCAAAAGAUGAAGAAGAAGAUCCUGAAGAUGCAUGGAGUGUUGGAGGCCGAGCCGGACAUGAACAGAUCAGAGGUGAUGGUUAAAGGUGUGUUUGAGCCAGAGGAACUGGCCGAGUAUAUUCAAAAGAGGACGAGGAAGAAAGUGGUCCUUGUGCCGGUGCCGCUACAACCAACAAAAGAGGCCGAAGGAGAAGCCGAAACGGCAGAGAAGAAGACGGAAAGGGAAGAGAAGACGGCUGAGGAGUUGGGAGAAAGAGGGGAGAAGAAAGAGGCAAAAGUGGUACUGUCGGUGAAGAGAAAGAGGUCAAGGAGAUGGGGAGGGAGGUUGGGGCUGACGACACUUUUUCCGUGGCUACAAGAAGGUGGUGUGGUUGA
RNAcentral lists this unclassified non-coding RNA (465 nucleotides) under Hevea brasiliensis (rubber tree). The record is from RNAcentral. Lineage: Eukaryota; Viridiplantae; Streptophyta; Magnoliopsida; Malpighiales; Euphorbiaceae.